CGGACGGGUGAGUAACGCGUGAGUAACCUGCCUUACACAAGGGGAUAGCCGUUGGAAACGACGAAUAAUACCCUGUGAAACUAUCACUUCGCAUGAAGCGAUAGUCAAAGUGUUAGCGGUGUAAGAUGGACUUGCGUCUGAUUAGCUAGUUGGUGAGAAAAAGCCCACCAAGGCAACGAUCAGUAGCCGGCUUGAGAGAGUGUACGGCCACAUUGGGACUGAGACACGGCCCAG
RNAcentral lists this ribosomal RNA (234 nucleotides) under uncultured Eubacteriales bacterium. RNAcentral describes it as "uncultured Clostridiales bacterium partial 16S ribosomal RNA". It matches the Rfam family "Bacterial small subunit ribosomal RNA", at positions 99 to 334 of the family's 1533-position model. The record is from RNAcentral. Lineage: Bacteria; Bacillati; Bacillota; Clostridia; Eubacteriales.